This 483-nucleotide ribosomal RNA is filed under the name uncultured bacterium. Its description in RNAcentral is "bacterial SSU rRNA". It matches the Rfam family "Bacterial small subunit ribosomal RNA", at positions 29 to 507 of the family's 1533-position model. The record is from RNAcentral.
AUGAACGCUAGCGGCAGGCCUAAUACAUGCAAGUCGAACGGUGGAUCGGGUAGCAAUACUUGAUUGAGAGUGACGUAAGGGUGCGUAACACGUAUGCAAUCUACCCUCAACAGGAGUAUAGCUCGGGGAAACUCGGAUUAACACUCCAUAACAUUACGAUGUGGCAUCACAUUGUGAUUAAAACUCCGGUGGUUGAGGAUGAGCAUGCGUCUGAUUAGUUAGUUGGAGGUGUAACGGACCCCCAAGACGAUGAUCAGUAGGGGAACUGAGAGGUUGAUCCCCCACACUGGCACUGAGAUACGGGCCAGACUCCUAUGGGAGGCAGCAGUAGGGAAUAUUGGUCAAUGGGUGAGAGCCUGAACCAGCCAUGCCGCGUGCAGGAAGACGGCCUUCUGGGUUGUAAACUGCUUUUAUCUGGGAAGAAAAGUCGGGAUUUAUCCUGAUCUGACGGUACCAGAGGAAUAAGCACCGGCUAACUCCGUG